Molecule: ribosomal RNA, 467 nt
Filed under: uncultured bacterium
Lineage: Bacteria
Description: partial 16S ribosomal RNA
Rfam family: Bacterial small subunit ribosomal RNA
Source: RNAcentral
GACGAACGCUGGCGGCGUGCUUAACACAUGCAAGUCGAACGGAAAGGCCCUGCUUUUGUGGGGUGCUCGAGUGGCGAACGGGUGAGUAACACGUGAGUAACCUGCCCUUGACUUUGGGAUAACUUCAGGAAACUGGGGCUAAUACCGGAUAGGAGCUCCUGCUGCAUGGUGGGGGUUGGAAAGUUUCGGCGGUUGGGGAUGGACUCGCGGCUUAUCAGCUUGUUGGUGGGGUAGUGGCUUACCAAGGCUUUGACGGGUAGCCGGCCUGAGAGGGUGACCGGCCACAUUGGGACUGAGAUACGGCCCAGACUCCUACGGGAGGCAGCAGGGGGGAAUAUUGCACAAUGGGCGGAAGCCUGAGGCAGCAACGCCGCGUGCGGGAUGACGGCCUUCGGGUUGUAAACCGCUUUCGCCUGUGACGAAGCGUGAGUGACGGGAAUGGGUAAAGAAGCACCGGCUAACUACGU